This 76-nucleotide transfer RNA is filed under the name compost metagenome. Its description in RNAcentral is "tRNA-Asn". It matches the Rfam family "tRNA". Rfam says of the family: Transfer RNA (tRNA) molecules are approximately 80 nucleotides in length. Their secondary structure includes four short double-helical elements and three loops (D, anti-codon, and T loops). The record is from RNAcentral.
UCCUCAAUAGCUCAGUUGGUAGAGCAUGCGGCUGUUAACCGCAGGGUCACAGGUUCGAGUCCUGUUUGAGGAGCCA